This is a long non-coding RNA of Cyprinodon tularosa, 1024 nucleotides long. RefSeq lists it as uncharacterized. The transcript has 5 exons. NCBI's taxonomy places the organism in Eukaryota, Metazoa, Chordata, Actinopteri, Cyprinodontiformes, Cyprinodontidae. The record is from RefSeq and is a predicted model, not a curated record.
GGAGCAGCAGCUUCAUCAGUGUUUCUCCCUUCAGCUGGUCAGAGGGCUCAGUGUGGUUCUGCUGAUGUUUACCUGAGCAGAUGUCAGACCCGAUGCUCCCUACGGAGUUUGCAUCACGUGACCAGUUAAGGCGUUCCUGCUCAGGUGAGAAGGGCCUCUGGAGGGACGGCAGGGAGCCUCUGUGGGUGUGGUGGGGCUCCUUUGGGAGUGCAGGGGCCUCUGCUGAUUGUGUCACGGGUCUCUGAAAUGUAUAGGGGCCCCCAAACUACGACAGGAGGCCCUGCAGACAACUGGAGAUAGGCACCAGCACCCCCUCGCCACCCCAGCAGGGAUAAGCGUGAAAGAAAAUGGAAGGAUGGAUGAAGAUGGUUUGAAGUGCUUGACUUCCAUUAACUUCAACGCUCUUUGGGUAAGAAUGAGAACAUGCUGCACUGAUUUUCCAGAUUGUACUCAGUUAUGGUGCAGAGGGGCCACCAGUUGAAAUCCCAACCUCCCGGUGGCCUUCCGCCUCCAGCUCCCUCAUUCCAUGAAGAUCCAUACUACCUUUCAUGUUCUUCAGACUCCUGCUUGAUUCUACCAUUUGACUGAACCUGGAUCUGCUUCCUGACACCGACAUCGUCCUUCUGUACCUCUUCAAAUUUCUGAUCUUCUCGCUUGGACUCCUGUGAACCUCUUUGACACUGGCUUUGGCUCCUACUUCUGGAUAGUCCUACCUUCCUUCGACUGCUUGGAUCUGUUUGUUAUCAUCUGGGACUCUCUGGGAAGUGUCUGCCAUGUGAUGUUGUCAGCCAGUCAGGCUAGAAUCUACCUCUUCCUAUGGAUACAGAGUUAACUUUAAGACCAGAGGUUCCUACUUUAGACGUCCCUGCAGUUACAACUGAUCCUUCGUUUUAUAAUAAAUGCUUUUGAGAAAUAAGUGUGUCUUUCUGCCUUGAAUUCUGCAUUCUCUGUUCUGGGUUUUGACAACUGUAUGCUAAUUUGAUCUCCAAAUGGAAGAGCGAGCUCUGCAGACAGAAAAUAACAU